AUGGCUUGGUGGUAGAGUCGCUGCCCGGCAAGCAGUAGACGGCAGGUUCGAAUCCCGCU
Molecule: non-coding RNA, 59 nt
Organism: Strongylocentrotus purpuratus (purple sea urchin)
Lineage: Eukaryota; Metazoa; Echinodermata; Echinoidea; Camarodonta; Strongylocentrotidae
Source: Rfam